GGAUUUUCAGUGAAACAGUUCUUCCAGUUAUUUUUCAUGAGUCUCACGGAGGACUCAAUAACCAGAGCCACUCUUCCUGUCCAACAAUUCUUCAGGGUCACCAGCCCUGAAGAGUUUUUCACCAAAUUGCAAACUGGAGUCAGUUGGAUAAAAUGACCUAUCAGAACCCGGUAUGUAUUAUAGUGUUGCCAGCUGCAUAGUACUCCAUUGUGAACAUCAGAAUGAGAAAAAUAGAAGUGCUUGACAGUCGUAGUUAUGGUGCAAAUGCUAAUCUUUGAUUAACUUUUGAAAACAUGUUUGAAGAUAGUUAUUCUACUGGUUCCCUUUUCUCAGUACAUAUUUUAUGGAGGAAUACUGAAGAAUAGCUGAGAAAAUGGUUCUUUGCUCUUCUUAAGAAAAAAGCAUCUAAGAUUUUUGUCGAAAUAUGGGACCUCAGAAUUGGAAAAGUAUUAGAGCUCAGAGUACACACUCCUUCCUUGAUUUCCAGAUAAGAAAGCAAAUUCAGAGUGGUUAAAAGAUUUGGCUUAGGGCAUUUGAAUAAUAACUAAAA
Molecule: long non-coding RNA, 550 nt
Organism: Molossus molossus (Pallas's mastiff bat)
Lineage: Eukaryota; Metazoa; Chordata; Mammalia; Chiroptera; Molossidae
Exons: 6
Source: RefSeq, a predicted model, not a curated record